GACGACCUGCACUUUCUGAAAGAAAAAAAUAAGAAUUUUCCACAUCAACUUUUAGUGUCAGUAGCAUUUCAAAUUGAUAAUUGAUAUGAAGACACAGCCUACCUGUAUCUGUUCAAACGGGACUUCGAAGCUGAAACUCUCAUUAAACACCUACCUGGGUAUCAGUGAAGUUGUAGUCCAACGAGAACUCCAGCUUACCCACAUUUUCCUGUUCUUUCUCCUGUUGCUCCCCUUCCUUCUUCACCUCACCCUCCUACAAGAUCAAAAAAACAUCAGUGCACUAGAUAUUCACCAUGAAGAUCUAAAUCAGCAUUUUUUGAAAAGACAGAAGAUGCAACACGCCACCAAAACCAGGACCACCACGACAAUGGCUCCAACUGCCCACAUGGGAACUGCAAAAUAAAACAGAUUCUAAAGGUGGCUUACUUGGCAGAUGACCAAGUUCAUUCAUGAACUUCUCCUUCAUGUGGUUGUAGUCAUGGCCAGGGUGAUGUUCUGUGUGGGAGUGCUCAUGGUGUUCUGUAUGCGAGUGCUCAUGAUGUUC
Molecule: long non-coding RNA, 544 nt
Organism: Micropterus salmoides (largemouth bass)
Lineage: Eukaryota; Metazoa; Chordata; Actinopteri; Centrarchiformes; Centrarchidae
Exons: 4
Source: RefSeq, a predicted model, not a curated record